RNAcentral lists this ribosomal RNA (468 nucleotides) under uncultured bacterium. RNAcentral's name for it is "partial 16S ribosomal RNA". It matches the Rfam family "Bacterial small subunit ribosomal RNA", at positions 28 to 507 of the family's 1533-position model. The record is from RNAcentral.
GAUGAACGCUGGCGGCGUGCUUAACACAUGCAAGUCGAACGGUGAAGGCGGAGCUUGCUCUGCUGGAUCAGUGGCGAACGGGUGAGUAACACGUGAGCAAUCUGCCCCUGACUCUGGGAUAAGCGCUGGAAACGGCGUCUAAUACUGGAUACGAGCUGCGAAGGCAUCUUCAGCAGCUGGAAAGAAUUUCGGUCAGAGAUGAGCUCGCGGCCUAUCAGCUUGUUGGUGAGGUAAUGGCUCACCAAGGCGUCGACGGGUAGCCGGCCUGAGAGGGUGACCGGCCACACUGGGACUGAGACACGGCCCAGACUCCUACGGGAGGCAGCAGUGGGGAAUAUUGCACAAUGGGCGAAAGCCUGAUGCAGCAACGCCGCGUGAGGGACGACGGCCUUCGGGUUGUAAACCUCUUUUAGCAGGGAAGAAGCGAAAGUGACGGUACCUGCAGAAAAAGCGCCGGCUAACUACGUG